Molecule: transfer RNA, 74 nt
Filed under: Rhododendron molle
Lineage: Eukaryota; Viridiplantae; Streptophyta; Magnoliopsida; Ericales; Ericaceae
Also listed under: 13 other names
Description: tRNA-His
Rfam family: tRNA
About the family: Transfer RNA (tRNA) molecules are approximately 80 nucleotides in length.
Source: RNAcentral
GGCGGAUGUAGCCAAGUGGUUAAGGCAGUGGAUUGUGAAUUCAUCACGCGCGGGUUCGAACCCCGUCGUUCGCC